This 251-nucleotide ribosomal RNA is filed under the name uncultured bacterium. RNAcentral describes it as "partial 16S ribosomal RNA". It matches the Rfam family "Bacterial small subunit ribosomal RNA", at positions 524 to 776 of the family's 1533-position model. The record is from RNAcentral.
UACGUAGGGCGCAAGCGUUAUCCGGAAUUAUUGGGCGUAAAGAGCUCGUAGGCGGUUUGUCGCGUCUGCCGUGAAAGUCCGGGGCUCAACUCCGGAUCUGCGGUGGGUACGGGCAGACUAGAGUGAUGUAGGGAGACUGGAAUUCCUGGUGUAGCGGUGAAAUGCGCAGAUAUCAGGAGGAACACCGAUGGCGAAGGCAGGUCUCUGGGCAUUAACUGACGCUGAGGAGCGAAAGCAUGGGAGCGAACAGG